This 1550-nucleotide ribosomal RNA is filed under the name Klebsiella pneumoniae. RNAcentral's name for it is "bacterial SSU rRNA". It matches the Rfam family "Bacterial small subunit ribosomal RNA". Lineage: Bacteria; Pseudomonadati; Pseudomonadota; Gammaproteobacteria; Enterobacterales; Enterobacteriaceae. The record is from RNAcentral.
AAAUUGAAGAGUUUGAUCAUGGCUCAGAUUGAACGCUGGCGGCAGGCCUAACACAUGCAAGUCGAGCGGUAGCACAGAGAGCUUGCUCUCGGGUGACGAGCGGCGGACGGGUGAGUAAUGUCUGGGAAACUGCCUGAUGGAGGGGGAUAACUACUGGAAACGGUAGCUAAUACCGCAUAAUGUCGCAAGACCAAAGUGGGGGACCUUCGGGCCUCAUGCCAUCAGAUGUGCCCAGAUGGGAUUAGCUAGUAGGUGGGGUAACGGCUCACCUAGGCGACGAUCCCUAGCUGGUCUGAGAGGAUGACCAGCCACACUGGAACUGAGACACGGUCCAGACUCCUACGGGAGGCAGCAGUGGGGAAUAUUGCACAAUGGGCGCAAGCCUGAUGCAGCCAUGCCGCGUGUGUGAAGAAGGCCUUCGGGUUGUAAAGCACUUUCAGCGGGGAGGAAGGCGUUAAGGUUAAUAACCUUGGCGAUUGACGUUACCCGCAGAAGAAGCACCGGCUAACUCCGUGCCAGCAGCCGCGGUAAUACGGAGGGUGCAAGCGUUAAUCGGAAUUACUGGGCGUAAAGCGCACGCAGGCGGUCUGUCAAGUCGGAUGUGAAAUCCCCGGGCUCAACCUGGGAACUGCAUUCGAAACUGGCAGGCUAGAGUCUUGUAGAGGGGGGUAGAAUUCCAGGUGUAGCGGUGAAAUGCGUAGAGAUCUGGAGGAAUACCGGUGGCGAAGGCGGCCCCCUGGACAAAGACUGACGCUCAGGUGCGAAAGCGUGGGGAGCAAACAGGAUUAGAUACCCUGGUAGUCCACGCCGUAAACGAUGUCGAUUUGGAGGUUGUGCCCUUGAGGCGUGGCUUCCGGAGCUAACGCGUUAAAUCGACCGCCUGGGGAGUACGGCCGCAAGGUUAAAACUCAAAUGAAUUGACGGGGGCCCGCACAAGCGGUGGAGCAUGUGGUUUAAUUCGAUGCAACGCGAAGAACCUUACCUGGUCUUGACAUCCACAGAACUUAGCAGAGAUGCUUUGGUGCCUUCGGGAACUGUGAGACAGGUGCUGCAUGGCUGUCGUCAGCUCGUGUUGUGAAAUGUUGGGUUAAGUCCCGCAACGAGCGCAACCCUUAUCCUUUGUUGCCAGCGGUCAGGCCGGGAACUCAAAGGAGACUGCCAGUGAUAAACUGGAGGAAGGUGGGGAUGACGUCAAGUCAUCAUGGCCCUUACGACCAGGGCUACACACGUGCUACAAUGGCAUAUACAAAGAGAAGCGACCUCGCGAGAGCAAGCGGACCUCAUAAAGUAUGUCGUAGUCCGGAUUGGAGUCUGCAACUCGACUCCAUGAAGUCGGAAUCGCUAGUAAUCGUAGAUCAGAAUGCUACGGUGAAUACGUUCCCGGGCCUUGUACACACCGCCCGUCACACCAUGGGAGUGGGUUGCAAAAGAAGUAGGUAGCUUAACCUUCGGGAGGGCGCUUACCACUUUGUGAUUCAUGACUGGGGUGAAGUCGUAACAAGGUAACCGUAGGGGAACCUGCGGUUGGAUCACCUCCUUACCUUAAAGAA